UAGGGAAUCUUCCGCAAUGGACGCAAGUCUGACGGAGCAACGCCGCGUGAGUGAAGAAGGAUUUCGGUUCAUAAAACUCUGUUGUUAGAGAAGAACAGCGCAUAGAGUAACUGUUAUGCGUGUGACGGUAUCUAACCAGAAAGCCACGGCUAACUACGUGCCAGCAGCCGCGGUAAUACGUAGGUGGCAAGCGUUGUCCGGAUUUAUUGGGCGUAAAGCGAGCGCAGGCGGUCAAUUAAGUCUGAUGUGAAAGCCCCCGGCUCAACCGGGGAGGGUCAUUGGAAACUGGUUGACUUGAGUGCAGAAGAGGAGAGUGGAAUUCCAUGUGUAGCGGUGAAAUGCGUAGAUAUAUGGAGGAACACCAGUGGCGAAGGCGACUCUCUGGUCUGUAACUGACGCUGAGGCUCGAAAGCGUGUGUAGCAAACAGG
RNAcentral lists this ribosomal RNA (429 nucleotides) under Bacteroidota bacterium. RNAcentral describes it as "Bacteroidetes bacterium partial 16S ribosomal RNA". It matches the Rfam family "Bacterial small subunit ribosomal RNA", at positions 355 to 776 of the family's 1533-position model. The record is from RNAcentral. Lineage: Bacteria; Pseudomonadati; Bacteroidota.